GCUAAGGCUGAUGGCGACCGGCGCACGGGUGAGUAACACGUAUCCAACCUGCCGUCUACUCUUGGCCAGCCUUCUGAAAGGAAGAUUAAUCCAGGAUGGGAUCAUGAGUUCACAUGUCCGCAUGAUUAAAGGUAUUUUCCGGUAGACGAUGGGGAUGCGUUCCAUUAGAUAGUAGGCGGGGUAACGGCCCACCUAGUCAACGAUGGAUAGGGGUUCUGAGAGGAAGGUCCCCCACAUUGGAACUGAGACACGGUCCAAACUCCUACGGGAGGCAGCAGUGAGGAAUAUUGGUCAAUGGGCGAUGGCCUGAACCAGCCAAGUAGCGUGAAGGAUGACUGCCCUAUGGGUUGUAAACUUCUUUUAUAAAGGAAUAAAGUCGGGUAUGCAUACCCGUUUGCAUGUACUUUAUGAAUAAGGAUCGGCUAACUCCGUGCCAGCAGCCGCGGUAAUACGGAGGAUCCGAGCGUUAUCCGGAUUUAUUGGGUUUAAAGGGAGCGUAGAUGGAUGUUUAAGUCAGUUGUGAAAGUUUGCGGCUCAACCGUAAAAUUGCAGUUGAUACUGGAUGUCUUGAGUGCAGUUGAGGCAGGCGGAAUUCGUGGUGUAGCGGUGAAAUGCUUAGAUAUCACGAAGAACUCCGAUUGCGAAGGCAGCCUGCUA
RNAcentral lists this ribosomal RNA (657 nucleotides) under uncultured Bacteroidales bacterium. RNAcentral's name for it is "bacterial SSU rRNA". It matches the Rfam family "Bacterial small subunit ribosomal RNA", at positions 77 to 731 of the family's 1533-position model. The record is from RNAcentral. Lineage: Bacteria; Pseudomonadati; Bacteroidota; Bacteroidia; Bacteroidales.